AUUGAACGCUGGCGGCAGGCCUAACACAUGCAAGUCGAGCGGAUGAAGGGAGCUUGCUCCUGGAUUCAGCGGCGGACGGGUGAGUAAUGCCUAGGAAUCUGCCUGGUAGUGGGGGAUAACGUCCGGAAACGGGCGCUAAUACCGCAUACGUCCUGAGGGAGAAAGUGGGGGAUCUUCGGACCUCACGCUAUCAGAUGAGCCUAGGUCGGAUUAGCUAGUUGGUGGGGUAAAGGCCUACCAAGGCGACGAUCCGUAACUGGUCUGGGAGGAUGAUCAGUCACACUGGACCUAGGACCCGGUCCGACCUCCUCGGGGGGGCACCGGUGGGGAUUUUUGGACAUGGGGCGAAACCCUGUCCCCCCCAGCCCGCGGUUGUGAAGAAGGUCUUCGGUUUGUAAAGCCCUUUAAUUUGGGAGGAAGGGCGGUAAGUUAAUUCCUUGCUGUUUUGACGUUACCAACAAAAUAAGCACCGGCUAACUUCUU
Molecule: ribosomal RNA, 483 nt
Filed under: uncultured bacterium
Lineage: Bacteria
Description: partial 16S ribosomal RNA
Rfam family: Bacterial small subunit ribosomal RNA
Source: RNAcentral